RNAcentral lists this long non-coding RNA (363 nucleotides) under Musa acuminata (dwarf banana). Its description in RNAcentral is "long non-coding RNA (MACU_LNC008527)". Lineage: Eukaryota; Viridiplantae; Streptophyta; Magnoliopsida; Zingiberales; Musaceae. The record is from RNAcentral.
CUCCCAACGUGAUCAUUGUCUUGAUUCCGGCGCAACUCCUACUGCAUGUCUUUCUUCCAUCGUAGUUAAUCCUGCACACUUAAAACAAAACUUCGAUUGAGACAAUUAAUCCUAAGCAAUUAACCAAGUUGUCCGGCAUGUCAUUGGUCCCUCGAUGCUUCGUCCGAUUCUUCGGCGUAUCAUCCUCUCCUGCAGCCUAUUGCCCAAUCGGCCAGUUGACUCCGCAACUUCGAUAUCCUUGGCACAAUACCCGCUCUUCUUGGCCCGAUGCCCGAGUCCACGGCCCGAAGCCUUCUGUCGAUAUGUCGACCGAUCCACCGGCCCGACGUCCAAUCUUCUAAUAUGUUCCUCCGGCACAACAUG